Long non-coding RNA from Ipomoea nil (Japanese morning glory), 111 nucleotides. RefSeq lists it as uncharacterized. Lineage: Eukaryota; Viridiplantae; Streptophyta; Magnoliopsida; Solanales; Convolvulaceae. The transcript has 3 exons. The record is from RefSeq and is a predicted model, not a curated record.
CUUCAAAGUUAUUAUCAGGUACUUUCGGUUCUGUUUUUCUGGGUGAUGAUAGAUGUCAUAAUAUCAUAGGUAUUGGUGAUGUUAACAUCCAGAUGUAUGAUGGUAUUGUCA